Molecule: ribosomal RNA, 454 nt
Filed under: uncultured Marinilabiliaceae bacterium
Lineage: Bacteria; Pseudomonadati; Bacteroidota; Bacteroidia; Marinilabiliales; Marinilabiliaceae
Description: partial 16S ribosomal RNA
Rfam family: Bacterial small subunit ribosomal RNA
Source: RNAcentral
ACGGAAGGCAGCAGUGAGGAAUAUUGGUCAAUGGACGGAAGUCUGAACCAGCCAAGUCGCGUGCGGGAUGAAGGCCCUACGGGUCGUAAACCGCUUUUGUACGGGGAUAAAGUCACCCACGUGUGGGUGUUUGUAGGUACCGUAAGAAUAAGGAUCGGCUAACUCCGUGCCAGCAGCCGCGGUAAUACGGAGGAUCCGAGCGUUAUCCGGAUUUAUUGGGUUUAAAGGGUGCGCAGGCGGGCUGCUAAGUCUCCGGUGAAAUGUCAGGGCUCAACCUUGGCACUGCCGGAGAUACUGGCGGCCUUGAGUCGUGUCGAGGAUGGCGGAAUGCAGCGUGUAGCGGUGAAAUGCUUAGAUAUGCUGCAGAACUCCGAUUGCGAAGGCAGCUGUCCAGAGACGAACUGACGCUGAGGCACGAAAGCAUGGGUAUCAAACAGGAUUAGAUACCCUGGUA